This 433-nucleotide ribosomal RNA is filed under the name uncultured bacterium. RNAcentral describes it as "partial 16S ribosomal RNA". It matches the Rfam family "Bacterial small subunit ribosomal RNA", at positions 29 to 507 of the family's 1533-position model. The record is from RNAcentral.
AGCGAACGCUGGCGGCAGGCCUAACACAUGCAAGUCGAACGGACCCUUCGGGGUUAGUGGCGGACGGGUGAGUAACACGUGGGAACGUGCCUUUAGGUUCGGAAUAGCUCCUGGAAACGGGUGGUAAUGCCGAAUGUGCCCUUCGGGGGAAAGAUUUAUCGCCUUUAGAGCGGCCCGCGUCUGUUUAGCUAGUUGGUGAGGUAACGGCUCACCAAGGCGACGAUCAGUAGCUGGGCUGAGAGGAUGACCAGCCACACUGGGACUGAGACACGGCCCAGACUCCUACGGGAGGCAGCAGUGGGGAAUCUUGCGCAAUGGGCGAAAGCCUGACGCAGCCAUGCCGCGUGAAUGAUGAAGGUCUUAGGAUUGUAAAAUUCUUUCACCGGGGACGAUAAUGACGGUACCCGGAGAAGAAGCCCCGGCUAACUUCGUG